Molecule: long non-coding RNA, 10730 nt
Organism: Monodelphis domestica (gray short-tailed opossum)
Lineage: Eukaryota; Metazoa; Chordata; Mammalia; Didelphimorphia; Didelphidae
Source: RefSeq, a predicted model, not a curated record
GUCCGUCACGUGGUCGGAAGCGGGAGCCUCGGGCUGCGAUCCCAGCCUCCUCCUCCCGUACCUAGUAUGAGGCCUCAGGUACUGAUCUCGGGCCCUCCCGCCUGAUUCACUGGACUUCCUCUUUCCUCCAGGUGUCUAUCAUAUUUUCAUCUUGCGGUGCUACCUUGAUCCAUCAACACUACCAUAAUCAGAAGGUGAAAAGUGGUUCCCAAAAACACUGCCCCUUGGACAAUACUGGGCAACUUGGAAGCUGUGAUUGGCCCUUGUGAAGAGGGGAAAGGACAAGAAGCUACCAUAAAAGACCCUGAAUUUCUGGAGCUAGUGAAGUCGAUUUCAAGAAAGAAGUCAGCUUCAAAAAGAAGUCAGCUCAAGGAAGAAAGUCAGCCUCAGUAAUCACCUUCAGCUUGAGUCAUUGUCUUGACCUGCCUUUUGGAGGGAACUUGGGUGAUUGGAUAGCUAGCUUUCCCUUCCUGUCUUCUGGAAAGAGUUUGUUUCUGGUUGAAGAUCAACAAGUCCUGGCAGAACUUAACAUUUAGCAUUUAGAAUAACAAAAAUAAAGCAUAACAAAAGGUAUGUAUGACAGAAAGGGCAAAGAAUUGAACCAAAAUAAUAAUAGCUAGCAUUUUUAUGCCAUUUUAAGUUUGGUAGCACUUUAAAAAUAUUAUCUCAUUUUAUCUUAAUAAUGACCCAGGAAAGCAGGUACUAUUGUCAUUAUCAUUUAUUUUAUAAAUGAAGAAACAGGUUAAGUGGUCACACAACUAAGAUAGCUUCUUAGAGCAUGUGACUCAGAUCUUUCUGAUUCCAGAUUUAAUGCUCUAUCCACAGUACCGUCUAACUUAUUUGUAAGGAAAUUUGAGGAGAGAAUAAUUUUCAGAAGGAGAGAGGGAAUCUUAAAAGGUCUCAUGGAUGAAAAGAUAUCUGAGCUCAACCUUGAAGAAAAGUAAAGUACACAAGACUGGGAUUUUGAAGGAGUCCAUUCCAAGAAUGGGAGAGGGCCUAUAGAGUUGAAAUUGAUAGAAUAUAAAACACAAAUACUGCGGUUUUACCAGCACACAGAAGGGAGUAAAAUUAGACUGAAAAGGAAAGUUGUAACCAUAAUGGAAGUAAGUAAAAAUAAAUCAAUUUAAGUAAGGAGUUUCUAUGGAGAAAAAAAGUAACUAUCAUCUCUUAGGUUACUUCUAGUUCUAAAAAGAAAGUCCUUUGAAAAUAAAUUUUUAUUUUUUAAGCUUAUUUGUUACAUUAAAAUCCCCAUGUAUCUCCCUUCCUCCCCAUACUAGAGAAGUCAUCACUUAACAACAUUUCUUUUUAUCAGGUUUUUUUCUUAUCCUGGGGUGGACAUACACAAAUUAUUCUUAAUAUAUUUCUAUUGCUGUAUGUUGUUAUUUUGGUUUUACUUAUUUCACUCUUUAUCAUUUCAUAUAGGCAAAUUCAUAAAGGCUGAAUUGCCUUUGGAAAAUGGAAUUUGAAAAAAAUUACACCAAGCUUUUUCCUGAAACAAUGAUCUAUCUUUUUAAUACCAGUUUUCUCCCCCAAAAUAUUGUAUUAUUUCAAGUCAUGAGUAUUCUAGUACUAUCUAAAGAUGAAGUCAAAGGGCAAAAGAAUGUAGCUAGUAAACAACUAGCCAGCUGCAAUCAAUCAUUCAACAUUUGUUAAGCACUUACUAAAAAUACCAACCUUUCUGAUAAGGGGUCAGGUUACAAACACAAAAAUAAAAUAGUCCUUGCCCUCCCUGAGUUUACAAUCUACUGAAGGAAAAAUAUCAAGUAUACAUUCAAAUGUAAUCACUAAGGGUCAAAAUGGGUUUAGCCUCCUGUUCUAAUGGGGCCAUUUUAAAAGCUCCAAGGUUAUAGUAAUUCUCCUCUUACAAAUAUAAUUAUGAAACAGAUGAAUGACUCAUGAUUAUGUUCCCAAUUAAAGAAAACCCUGGAUGAUGGGAGUGAUAAAUUUCAAUCCCACCCCUUCUCUAUAAAAGGUCAUAUUCUCUUAUAUAUCUCUGAGAACUCUUCAAUGCCCUCAUGUCCCCUGGAGACCCCAAAACUCCAGAGGAAUCCAGAUCAAAGAGUACAAAUAUGUGAAGAAUUCCCCAUUCUUGCACCCCAUGCAGUGUUAGCUAAAGAAAGGAACUAAAGGAACUGUAUGAUAAAAAGAGUCUCUGAGAGAUACAUUUUCUUAGCCUUUCCCCUAGCUUCCUGAUAAGCACAGAUAUGUACCUUCCCUUUGCAUCUCAGACAUCAAUUCAUUCCCUGAGAUUUACAAUUCACCCACCUUUGUGGUCAGGUGUCAGGUGAUACUGACAGAUAUGGAGGAAGGGGAUCCCUGAAGGGGUGAAGAGAAUGAAUGGUGAGGAUGAUGUGUCAAGAGGGUCACUGAAGGUGGUAGCAAUCAGAGGCUAGGUUUAUUGAAAGUGACAUAGUCUAAAGGAUUAGAUAAGCUUUUUACAUGAACAAUAGUUAGAAUAAUGAUUUACAAUCUUAGUACAAUGACUUUAAGUUUACCUCAUAGAAGCUUAGACAGAAUUUUCUGUAGGAUAAUGUGGUAGUAGUCUUUCGGUAACCAAGGAUGACAGUUGUCUUUGUGCGUUUUUGUGCACAAAGACACUUGUCCAUGAAGAUUUAAGUGGAAAAUAAAGUAUAGCAGGGAGGGGUUCAAAAGGAGAGAUUUGAGGGGCCUCAUGUGAGGAGUGAUUCUGGCCAGACCAUGAUUUGAUUUUACUGGGGUCCACUCUCACUCUUGAAAGCUACAGUCAGAGACUCCUGUGCUUUUCACAAUCAGGGACACCUAUGCUUUUCUCCUCACACCCCUUUAAAAUAUAAAAUCUCUGUAUCACUUCUCUUCAUUGAGGCAGAUUUUUACCUGCACCUGCCGCCUGUUCAUUCAACUCAUAUUCAAAUCAAUAAAUUCAACUUAAUAAGUUUCUCUAUUUUUAAAGAUAAUCAUCAAAGCCUGUCCUUCUUGAGGUAGUAACCUUCUUGGCCCAGUGUUAAUCUCAAACUCUUCCACAACAAUGCCAACCACAAAGAGCACAUAAAAGCAAUUAGGACAACCACAGCUGUUUGUGAGAAACAAAAUUAGAUCAGCUAAAUGCUAUCUUUCUUGUUUGUUUUUUAAAAAUACUUCAUUAUCUUUUUUUGUUCUGUCAACUAGAAAAAACACAGAACUAUUAAAUAGUCAAAAAUCACUCUUUAAUCAAGGGAAAAGGGGUUAGUGCUACUAAUACGACAACAGAGCUGCUUUCCAAGACUGCACAGAGUCAAGUCACCAGCCCCUGGGAAUGCCACCACUCAGGAUCACUCCGAGGAACAAAAGAAAUUGGGGAACCUAUAUACCACUCUAGAUGACCUGGGGGCUUUAGGAUUAGAGGGACAGUUGAUUGACUUUACAAUGGUAAGAAAGGAAAAUGAAGAGUUCCAGACAGGAAUAAUAGUGAGGGGCUGGGACCCUACAAUGGACACAAAAGGGCCCAGGACUGGGUCACCUUGGUCAUGGACCUUAGCCUAGGGGGAGAAAACAUUGGGACAAAAGGGAUGUUCAAUAUUGGAUGGGAUUAGCUGUUCCAACCCAGACUACCAGGAAGUUCACUGUCUGGUGAACAGGGACCUUCCCUCAGGGGGAAACCUCUCCUGUGACAAGGUCAAAACCUGGGGUUUCUACACUCAAACUAAAUAAACUGGGGAUCUCUAGAUUUCCAUGUUGACAGUUCCAAUAAAAUUUUUAAAUUAAUCUGUCCUUUGAUGGCCUUGUUUUGUGGAACCCCCAAAUUUACCUUUCUCCCUUGGGAACUUGCUUUUGAAGAAGUCCCAGACUGACCCUUGUUUUAGGCUGAACUAUAAACCUUAAAUACCCAAUGAUCUCAGCCAAUAUAGGGUCUUUCCCCAAGAACAGGAGAUUCAAGUUCCAAUCAAUCCAGAAGUAAGAAAAGAAUUUUAAUUGAAGUGGUUUUUUGGUGCUAUAAUGGCUUAAUAGUCUGGGGACUAAUCAGAUAGCCUUCAGGCUGAUGGAUAAACCCAAGGACUGGUAGAGUAGCUUCUUUGGAGCUAAUAGGAUACAGUAACAGCUCUGCUGAAGAGUGGCAGCCUUCACAAUCUGUAGAUCAGGGUUGGCAUAUUUAUUGGGAUCUGAUAGCUUGGCAUCUCCCAUUCUAAACUCAGAUGGAGGUACAUUUGGGGGUUUGUUGCCAUAGGGAAUAAGAAGCAUAUGCAAAAUCUAGGUCUUCCUCUGGAACACCAGAGCCCCCAAGUGUACAGGUUCCCUGUUCCCCUAUUAUCCAUGUUGUCAUCAUUUAUCAAUGCAGGAGAAGUCUUACUGCCCUUCUAGAAGGAGGACCACUAUGGGUAAUUAAUUAUUUCUAAGAACAAUUUGAGUAAUUAAUAAAAACAGAUUAGGCACAAAGCUGAUGCCUGGUGUAGAAUAUUAUGGAUCCUGUUCACAGAAUGUGUAAUUGAACAAUCUGCAAUUCAUGCUUGAUUAAUGCUGAAACUACAGGUUUUGUAGUUGUUUAACCAGUGCUAACUAGUGGGAAAUUCAAGAUUUCAGAGUAUGAGGGUCCCAUUCCUAUUACUACCCCUUACUGCCUAAUGUCAGCCCACAUCAGAAUUCUUCAGCUCAUUGGAAAAAUUCCCUUUUGAGGUGCAUUUUCCCACAGUAAUAGAGCUUGUCUCUAUGUGGUAUCUUGUGCAUGACUCCCUGUAGUGGUCUUCCUUGUCUUCCUUGUCCUGAGUAAAGACUUGUUCUUUCUAACUACCUUGGUAGUUCUUUGUUUUUCAAGGUUGACACCUUCAACUACCUAUCCCCACUGAGCAAUUUUUGUUAAUGGUAAAAAAAAAAAUCCUCAAUAAAUACAUAUCUAUAUAUGCAAAGCAAAUACCCACAUUAGGAACAUCUGAAAAUGUCUGUUUCUUCAUUUUAAGUGAAUCAGCUUUCUAUAAGAAGGUAAGAAGCAUGUAUCAUCUUCAUUCCUUAGGACUCAUGGUUUAUCACUAUGCUGAUAUAAUUCUGAAUUCUUCUUCUUAAUGUUGUUUUUGUCAUCAUAUAAAUUGUUUUCCUAGUUCAGUUCACUCUUCAUCAAUUAAGGUUUGCCUAGCUUUCUCUGAAGUUGUCCACUUUCUUUUUUUUAAAAAACCCUUAACUUCUGUUUUGGAGCCUAUACUGUGUAUUAGCUCCAAGGCAGAAGAGUGGAAAGGGCUAGGCAAUGGGGUGACUUGCCCAGGGUCACACAGCUGGGAAGUGUCUGAGGCCAUAUUUGAAUCCAGGACCUCCCGUCUCUAGGUCUGACUCUCAAUCCACUGAGCCACCCAGCUGCCCCCCACAUUAUUUCUUAUGGCCUGAUAAUAUUAUAUUACAUUUUGUCAACCUGAAAAAAAAAUACAACUUCCAAAGUAGUAAUAAAAAUGAGCCUGUCUUUAAUUCUAGCAGAUAGAUUAUAAUCUGGGGAAACACACAGGACCAUAGCCCUGAGACUCACACUGAACUGUAGAAAAGGAGAUGAUUAAAAUUUAGGAAAGGGGAAAGCCAAGUUUUAUGACUUCACAAAAACUUGGGAAAGACACAGAGGCUAGGGUGACUGGGACAGUCCACUUGUUCUAUAGGUUUGCUUGUUUUCUUUAUUUUAGUUUCUGAGAUACCAAUUUAUAGUCAACUCAGUCAUUAUCCUCUUUGUUUUAACAUACUAGAAAAGUCAGUAAGGAGAUUCUCUGAAAAUAAUGUUGUCAAUUUAUAUGCCACAAUUUUUUAAAAACUAUUCCCCAAUAGGAAGAUACCGCCCUAGUUUCCAAUUGUGGGUUAACAAACACACACAAAAAAGAGACAUUAUAAACAUUUUUCUCUAUAUAGAUCCUUUUCCUCUUUCUUUGGUUCCUUUGGGAUAUGUGUCUAAUAGCAUUAUAUCUGGAUUUUAAAAAAUGAAGAUGCAAUCUUUAUCAAAAUAGAAGAAAUUUAUGUUAGUCACAAUUAACUGAAAAAAGGGCCUCAGUAUUAGGACCACCAGUUCUUCCAUGUCUGUUCUUUAAUCAGGACAUUAGCUAUUUAGGCAAGCCCCAAUUUAACUACUUCAGUAUUCUUAGUAGGUAUGGAUUAAAAAAGGGAACAUCCAGUUUUUCCUCCAACUCAAAACAGGCAUUUCAACUCUUAACAAGAUUGUUAUAUAAGUUAAAACAAAAUAUAUACAAAGUAAUUUUUGGUCAUUUGGGAAACACUAACUAGUGAAGAGAUUGGGAGUUACCUAAUAUCUAUAUACUUUUGAAAACUAGUUAUUAUAUUUGUGAGACUAUUCAGCCUAAAAAAAUGCAUAUUUUUUUAAAUUUAUGGAUUAGCAUAAGACUCAUGAACCCCCUUAAAAUAAUAUCCUGGUCACACAAUUGUCCAUAUCACCAAAGCUUAGAAAGAACCACUCUAGUUGUUUUUGUUGUUCUUGUAGUUUAACAUUUGUUCUGGUCCAUCUAUUCUCUCUCAGGGUUGCUGAUUGGCUAGCCCACAUAAUUUACCAAUCAUACUAUCAACACUGAAAAACAAAACUAUUAAAGCAGUUAUAAAAGGAUACAUCUUUAAUCAGGACAAGGGAGACAGAGUUCUUAUGGCCACCACACAGGGCCAAAUUUUGGGACCCUGGGAACAAUAUCUCCAAGAAAAUGCACCACAAGUAGGAAUCUCCAUCAUGGGAAUUUCUAAGGAACUGAAGAUUGUGGGGUCUUAUAUACACUUUGGACAAUAAAGGAAAGGAAGGACAACUGAUUGGCACAUAUGGUGAGAAGAAUGACCACCUACUGAAAAGAAUCUUGAACAUCAGUGGGUCAAAGGCUCUUUUUUUCAUUCUCCCAAGAAUGGACACUCAUAAGACAAUGGUACAGCCAGCAAGCAAAUACAAAGAAUGGGAGUAGGCAACCUCCUUUCUAUCCUAGUGUCUGCUACAAAGAUGGUCCCUCCCCUCAUUCACCAUUGGUUUACAAUCCUAUCCUGAAAGCUAAUCAAAAUGCAAAUUUUACAAAACCAAUUAUCCUAAUUAUUCAAGUGAGUUUUAACCAAUCACAACAAGGACAGUUUCAAUCCCAUCUAUCUGUAUAUACUGUAGCCAUGUUGGUGAAGCCAUUGCAUGGAUUCCCAGGCAUGCUGGGGAUGGGGAGAGACACUGCUCCAAUCCCCUCUCCACAGCUCCUAAGGACAUUUUUCACAUGCCACAUUCCUCUGCCCAACAGCCAGAUAUAAGCUCCCUCAGCUCUCCUGGGUAAAGGCUGGGUGGGAGGGAAUCAGGGGUGGCCUGACAGGCAGCUUGAAAGUGCAGUUUGGGAACUUGAUUUCAAAAAUGUUCCCUAACUCUUUCCUAUAGCCUUUUAACAAAUCAAAACAAGGAUAGUUUCAAUCUUAUCUAUCAGAAAUGGACUUAGGGUGGGAAUGAAGUAACUGAUUAUGAUCCCAAGUAUGAAACCAAGACCAACAAUGUAACACACAGAAGGGAGUUUAUUAAAGCAAACUGCAGUUUGGGCACAGCACAAUAAAUGGCUGGCACUGGGUCUGGGGCUUGCAGGCUUUUUAUAUACUUUUGUGGUAGGGAGAGUGCAGAGGAAUUCCUGGGGUGGGGAAGUAAAAAGGAACUUCUGGGGCUGGGGUCUUUAUCAGUUCCUAGCAUAUGUCAGGAGGGGGAAAGACAACAACUCCUAGUGUUAGGGGUCAGGGAGGGGAAAGAAGGGGUUUGGUAGCUGGCUCUUCAUUCCCUACUUAUUCUAUUGUACGUGAGGAAUCUUCCUCAUGCGACGGUAUCCUCAUAAGAGGAUUCAGGAGGAGUCAGAGUUUGAAAUUGCUGGUGAAGGACCAUAGCUGGACAGUAUUAAUGUGAUCCUUGGAGGCGGAGUCAAUAUGGUGGCUUAGAAGCAGCAAAAGUUCAGACCUCUGAAAACCCUUCCUUAUCGAUCACAAACUGAAUGCUCCUGGAAACUGAAAUUCAAACUUAACAACAGGACAGAGGUGGGGAACCCUCCUUCUGGACUCAAAUCAAAAGGUACACCCCCCAAAAGCCGGAAUCUGAGAACACUCGAGUCUAAGGGGAAGACAGAGGAAAGGUCCCAGGACCCCUCCCCCCCAACCCAGAGGGCUGAGCCCCCAGCGGCAGUGGGAAUCUCUGGGUGGGCAAAGGUGCUGCUUUGGAGGGUCUACCUUGUGAGCAGCAGGGUGCCGGGCUCAGAGCAUCCAGUAUGGACAGCGGGGAGGAAGCUAGGGAGAGACCAGGGGCCGUAGCUGGGUCCUUUCAUCUGGCUCCAGUCUUACUGUUCCCUCAGGGCACAUCCAGACCAAUCCAGUUGAACCUAAUCACAUCAGGACUCCUCAGAGCUCAGGGAGGCUGGGACCCCUGCCCCCCCAAGAGUGCAGGACCUCUAGCAAGGACAGGAACCUCGGAGAGGGCAAAGGCAUUGGGGAACCUUGCGGACAGUGGAGAAGCAGCUUGAGAGAACUGGAAAGAGCCUGGGCGGCCCAGCCUUCCAGGAGUCUUCAGCCUCAGAGCACAUACAGCCCAACCCAGUUGAACUUAAUCCAAUCAAAAGCCUCCAGAGGACAGGGAAGCUAACAUUCCUCCCCUAGAGACUGUACCAAGAGGUCUGACAAAGCUCCAAGAGGGGAGACUGACAGGCUCAAAACCAAAACAAAAAAAAAAAUGAGAGGAGCAAGAGCACAGACAAAUACAGGGAGCAAAGAAGGGGUAAACCUGAGCAAACAACAGAAAAAGAAGAAAGAAAUUACAAUAGACAGCUUUUGCACAGGUAAUGAACAAAGAGCGAAUGAAACAGAGGGGGAGGGCUGAGCAAAGGAAAAAUCAGAAACCCCAGUGAAUUGGAUACAGGCUUUGGAAGAACUCAAAAUGCAAUUCAAAAGACAAUUAAGAGAGGCUGAAGACAAUUUGGAAAAGAACUUAAAAACGUAGAUAAAUCAUCUGGAAAGAGGCACUUGAACUAAAACAAGAAAAUGGUAUCUUGAAAGCCAAAAUCAACCAGCUGGAAAAUGAGGCAAAGGAGAUGAAAAAUGAGGUGAAGAAGAUGAAAGAUGAGAAAAAGGAGAUGAAAGAUGAGGUAAAGAGGAUGAAAGAUGAGAAAAAGGAGAUGAAAGAUGAGGUAAAGAGGAUGAAAGAUGACCUCCAAAGAAAUUCAGACCAAAAGGAAAAGGACAACCAAAAAGCUAAGGAUGAAAUCCAGUCUUUAAGAACCAGAAUACAACAACUAGAAUCAAGUGACCUCACAAGGCAGCAGGACACUAUAAAACAAAACCAAAAGAAUGAAAAAAUUGAGGAAAAUAUGAAGCAUCUCAUUCACAAAACAGAGGAUUUAGAAAAUCUUUCAAGGAGAGACAAUUUAAGAAUCAUUGGUCUACCAGAAGACCAUGACAAAAGAAAAAGCCUGGACAUUAUAUGACAGGAAAUUAUUAAAGAAAACUGCCCCAAUAUCCUAGAACAAGAGGGGAAAGUGGAGAUUGAAAAAAUCCACAGAUCACCUUCUAUACUUAAUCCCCAACUGACAACACCCAGGAAUGUUAUAGCCAAAUUCAAGAACUAUCAUAUGUAAAAAAUAGACUCGAAUACAGGACUACAAUCCCCACGAGCCUUUGCUCCACUUCCCCAGAAUGCCUUGUAAUCUCACCUGGGUCGAGAUCGAGAAGGUAUUUAAGCUGAUUCAAAGGCUUUUGAGGUCUCUUGGCUCUUGGACUUCCGUUUUGGGGCAGGCGUGGUUUUUUUCAUAAUGUAGGUGAGGUUGUGUCUAGGCCACUCUAUAGCCUGGACACGUGUUUCUUAUCCUGUAUUUUCUUUAAUCAUUAAUCUUCAAUAAACCUCUAAAAAAUAUAAUACUCCUUGCAGAGAGAAACUAAUUUCUACCUGCCUCAGAUGCCUCAGUCUCCCCCUCUCCCCUAAAUUUUAAUCUUUACACAGACCAAAGAAAAGAUAUUACAAGCUGCCAAGAAGUCAUUCAGAUACCAAAGAACCACAGUGAGAAUAACUCAGGAUCUGGCUGCAUCCACACUGAAAAAAAGAAAGGCAUGGAAUAUGAUAUUCUGGAAAGCAAGGGAACUAGGUCUACAACCAAGAAUCAACUACCCAGCAAAACUGACUAUAUUCUUACAGGGGAAAGUAUGGUCAUUCAACAAAAUAGAAGAAUUUCAAGAAUUCGUAAAGAAAAGACCAGACCUGAACAGAAAAUUUGAUGUCCAAGCAUAGAACUCAAGAGAAUCAUCAAAAGGUAAUUAAAAAAGAGGGAAAAAAGUAAAACAAAACAAAACAAAAUUUUUAAGAGACUUAAAAAGUGAAAAUGAUAUAUAUCCCUAUAAGAAAAGACGUCAUUGGUAACUCUUAAAAACUGUUGUUAUUACCUGGGCAGCAAAAAAAAGUACACUUAGAGGGAACAGUGACAAACUGUAUAGGAUGAAAGGACAAGACAUAAAUAGGUAUAUAGAUAUAUGCAUGCAUAAAUACAUACACAUGAGUAUGCAUAUAUAUACAUAUAUAUAACUAGAGCUUAAAAUAGGCUAAUAUUAAAAGAAAUGGGAAAAGAAACAAGUGGGGGUAAAUUUAUAUGUCACAAAGAAGCUCAUGGUGGGAGGGGGGAGAACAUCGAUACACUGGAAGGGUAAAGAGGUCAGAGACAGGAAAUACUCAACUUUUACAUGCUUUGAAGUUGACUCAAAAAGGGAAAAACAAUCCAAUCCAUUGGGGGCAGAGAAUAGAUCUGUUCCCUAUACAGGAGUAGAAGGAUAACAAAUGG